AUGAUGUGUAAAAUUAGUUAUAAAGUAAGUUAUAUGGAGAAGAAUAUAUCUACAUACAAGAAAAGAAGUCUCUUGCUACGACUUUGUCACGCGGUUGCCGCUUUUCAAUAUGCCAUCCAACACAUUUCUAGCCUUGUUCCAUGUUCCAACCUUAUCAUCUCCCAUCCUCAUUCGUAGCUUCCAACUUCUCUAUUCCUCCUAUUUUCCAACCUCCUUAUUCCCUUUGUUCCUCUAUUCCUUUAUUUAUA
This 248-nucleotide long non-coding RNA is filed under the name Physcomitrium patens. RNAcentral's name for it is "long non-coding RNA (PPAT_LNC010826)". The record is from RNAcentral. Lineage: Eukaryota; Viridiplantae; Streptophyta; Bryopsida; Funariales; Funariaceae.